GAGUUUGAUCCUGGCUCAGAUUGAACGCUGGCGGCAUGCCUUACACAUGCAAGUCGAACGGCAGCAUGAUCUAGCUUGCUAGAUUGAUGGCGAGUGGCGAACGGGUGAGUAAUACAUCGGAACGUGCCCUGUAGUGGGGGAUAACUAGUCGAAAGAUUAGCUAAUACCGCAUACGACCUGAGGGUGAAAGUGGGGGACCGCAAGGCCUCAUGCUAUAGGAGCGGCCGAUGUCUGAUUAGCUAGUUGGUGGGGUAAAGGCCCACCAAGGCGACGAUCAGUAGCUGGUCUGAGAGGACGAUCAGCCACA
RNAcentral lists this ribosomal RNA (307 nucleotides) under uncultured microorganism. RNAcentral's name for it is "bacterial SSU rRNA". It matches the Rfam family "Bacterial small subunit ribosomal RNA", at positions 9 to 312 of the family's 1533-position model. The record is from RNAcentral.